Molecule: unclassified non-coding RNA, 381 nt
Filed under: fungal sp.
Lineage: Eukaryota; Fungi
Description: partial internal transcribed spacer region
Rfam family: Eukaryotic small subunit ribosomal RNA (bases 1-46)
Source: RNAcentral
AAGUCGUAACAAGGUAACCGUAGGUGAACCUGCGGUUGGAUCAUUAACAAAUUUUUAUGAUUUGAGUCCCCAACUGGGAGCUUUCGAGCUUUCUUAUUGGGGAUCUCUUAUCUCCAACCCUAAUGUGAACCUGUUUAUUGUCUCUUGGCGAGUUAGGAUGAAGGCCUUUUGGUAACCGGCUCAACGUCGGUGACCCAGAGGAUCAGGUAUAUGAUUCAGUACUCUAUUUCCAACUCAAAUUCGGGAAUAGAGAAUGGGAUCAUAUAGCGACAAGCCAACCUCGCCAAACCUAAACUUGAACUUUUGUUUUUAUAACUAGUCUUGAAUUUUAAAUUAUAUUCUAAUUUUAAACAACUUUUGACAACGGAUCUCUAGGCUCUC